UGCCAGCCGCCGCGGUAACACGGGGGGCGCAAGCGUUAUUCGGAAUCAUUGGGCGUAAAGCGGGUGUAGGCGGCUUUGCAAGUCGGAUGUGAAAGCCCUGGGCCCAACCCAGGAAUUGCACUCGAUACUGCAUCGCUAGAGUCCCGGAGAGGAUGGCGGAAUUCCAGGUGUAGGGGUGAAAUCCGUAGAUAUCUGGAGGAACACCAGUGGCGAAGGCGGCCAUCUGGACGGUGACUGACGCUCAGACCCGAAAGCGUGGGGAGCAAACAGGAUUAGAUA
This 279-nucleotide ribosomal RNA is filed under the name uncultured bacterium. Its description in RNAcentral is "partial 16S ribosomal RNA". It matches the Rfam family "Bacterial small subunit ribosomal RNA", at positions 506 to 784 of the family's 1533-position model. The record is from RNAcentral.